CUUAGUGGCGAACGGGUGAGUAACGCGUGAGGAACCUGCCUUUCAGUGGGGACAACAGUUGGAAACGACUGCUAAUACCGCAUAACAUUCACGGACCGCAUGGCUGUGGAUCAAAGCUUUAUGUGCUGGAAGAUGGCCUCGCGUCUGAUUAGCUAUUGGUGGGGUAACGGCUCACCAAGGCGACGGAUCAGUAGCCGGUCUGAGAGGAUGAACGGCCACAUUGGGACUGAGAUACGGCCCAGACUCCUACGGGAGGCAGCAGUGGGGAAUAUUGGGCAAUGGGGGAAACCCUGACCCAGCAACGCCGCGUGAAGGAAGAAGGCUUUCGGGUUGUAAACUUCUUUUACCAGGGACGAAGAACGUGACGGUACCUGGAGAAAAGCAACGGCUAACUACGUG
RNAcentral lists this ribosomal RNA (399 nucleotides) under uncultured bacterium. RNAcentral's name for it is "bacterial SSU rRNA". It matches the Rfam family "Bacterial small subunit ribosomal RNA", at positions 91 to 507 of the family's 1533-position model. The record is from RNAcentral.